Molecule: long non-coding RNA, 2386 nt
Organism: Zalophus californianus (California sea lion)
Lineage: Eukaryota; Metazoa; Chordata; Mammalia; Carnivora; Otariidae
Exons: 4
Source: RefSeq, a predicted model, not a curated record
ACUGCCCAGCAGGUCAGGUUUUCAACCUCAAAGGAAAGCAGAGCUGGUGAACGAACAGAUUUGUUAACGCAGCCGUGUGGGACUUUGUUCUAGGCUCACCUCCACCCAGUCCAGCAGCUCUCGGAUUUGGAUUUGCAGCACACGUGGGGCGGCGGACUCCAUCCCAGCGAGGUCUGUUUGAUGUGCGUUUCCUUCCUGCCGCGCUUGCCCUCACUCGCCUGGGUUUGCGGGGUCAGCUAGGCCCAGAGGGGGCCCAAGGAGCUCCACAGAUAAUGUCUCGGCCAGCACCGGGGCACCAGGGUCAUUGCAGAUAUAAUUAGUCAAGAGGAGGUCACACUGGAGUGGGGUGGACCCUCAUCCAGUAGGACUGGUGUCCAGACAGAGACACAGAAGGCGGACACCAUGUGAAGAUGAAGAAAGAGAUGAGUGUGACACAGCAACAGCCAGGGGAGGCCAAGGAUUGCCAGCAAAGCCACCAGAAGCCGGGAGAGGGGCCUGAAGCACCCUCCCCCUCCCAGCCCCAGGGGGAACCGGCCUGCUGACACCUUGAUCUUGGACAUCCGGCUCCAGAACUGACAACGUGAGAUGCUUCUUUCCUGUUCAUCCUCUGUCCCUGGACUUUUCCAGGAAAGUUGACUGUAAGGCUCCAAGAUCCAGGCACCAACAUAGCUGUUCAUAGGCUUUCGUCAGCCAACAGGAUCCAGCAAGUUAAGAGUAUCAGAGCUUUGUCAGCUAACACCUUUCUCUGCCUCGUGCUGUGCUGAGAAACUCCUGGAGUCUAAACGCGCCCAUGCUCCAAUACACAACACUCAGGCUUCUGACUGCAGUUCUUAACAAUCACUAUCUUUAAAGGCUGAGAAGUUUGCCAAGUGCCUUCAGCACUGCCUCGGACUUGGUGACAUCGCCAAGGCUUUUGGGCAAGAGUGAUAUCAAAGUGGUGUCUUUGUACGAACCAUCUGAUGGUGAUGGGGAUUAGACAUUAGAAGUCGAGAUGGGGCUGGGGGAGCAGCUGAGGGACUUCACUUCUUAGUUUAUUCAGUCAACAAACACCUCCCAUGUUCCAGGAAUUGGAAGAGGCUCUAAGGACACACCAUGGAACAAAAUAAUGGCACGGCCAGAUCCGGGUGGGAGGCGCCAGGGAGCACACGCAGCGACAAUUCAGAGAAGAGCUGAACAUGUGAACUAAGGUGGUGACAUGGGAGCUGGAGAAAGGAGAUGGGUAUUAGAGUCGAUCAGUCAUUCCAGCUAUUUCUUACUAUCGAUUGCAGAAGUCUAACACUUUCACUCAAACUGUAGAACAGGACAAAAUAUAAAGAGCCCCUCCUCUAGCCUCACAUCCCAUACCUUACGGGAGGCCACUUUUAACAGGUGGCUGAUUUUAGGAAGCGAUGCUGAGGGGGAGCAGGAUGUCACCCCCAUUUCUGGUGUGACCUGGGCAGACACUUCUGAGAUAACGAACCAGACGAUAACUAUUUUAGAGGAUGAGUGUACUUGGAGCUUGUUGAAUUUCUUAAAUAACAGCCGUAUUGAGAUGUAAUUCCCAUACUAUACAGCUCACCCACUUAACGCUGCACAAUUCCAUGGUUUUUUAGGGCAUUCAGAUACGUGCAACUGUCACCACAAGCAACUUUAGCACAUUUUCAUCACCCCAAAAAGAAACCCAGCACACAUUAGCCGUGACUCCCCAUUUCCCCUCAACCCUCUUCCCCAGAUCUAGCCAACCACUUUCCGUCUGUAUAGGUUUGCCUAUUCUGAACACUUCCUACAAACGAAAUCAUACAAUAUUUGGCCUUUUGUGACUGGCUUCUUUCACCUACCAUCCAAGGGUGAGCCACGUUGUAAUGUAUAUAGCACUUUUUUGUUGUUAAAUAAUAUUCCAAUGCAACAAUCAAUACAUCAGCACAUCUUGUUAAUCCAAUCCAUUCAUUUAUUGAUGGAUGUUUGGGUUGUUUCCACUUUUUGGUGAUUAUAAAUCCUAUGAACAUUCAUGCCCAAGUUUUUGAACACGUUUUCAAUUUCCUGAAGCACGUAUCUAUCAGUGGAAUUGUUGGGUCCUAUGUAAUUCUAUGUUUAACUUUUUAAGGAUCCGCCAUACUGUUUUCCAUAGUGGCUACACCACUUUAUAUUCCAACCAAGAGUGCACAGGGGUUCCAAUUUCUCCACCUCUUUGUCAACAAUUAUCAUCUGACUUUUUGAUUAUAGCCUUCCUAGUGUGUGUGAAGUGGUAUCUUGUGGUUUUGAUUUGCAUUUCCCUAAUAACAAAUGAUCAUUGAACAUCAAUUCAUGUGCUCAUUGGCCAUUUGUAUAUCUUCUUUGGAGAAGUGUAUAAUCAGAUCUUUUGCCCAUUUUUCAAUUAUGUUUUAUUGAGUUGUAAGAGUUCUUUAUA